This 232-nucleotide ribosomal RNA is filed under the name Triticum aestivum (bread wheat). RNAcentral describes it as "partial small subunit ribosomal RNA". The record is from RNAcentral. Lineage: Eukaryota; Viridiplantae; Streptophyta; Magnoliopsida; Poales; Poaceae.
UACAUCUUUAACUAGUCCAACCCCUACCUCCCGCCAUUUUCCUGGUACAAUAGUAUCGUCACCGCCACCGAGUAGAACCCAAUGAGGUAACAGGAUAUUCCAGCGGCUGUCAGAUAGUCUAGAGAUCCUCCACCGCAGGUCACCACUACAGUCUUACCGUCCCGGUCGACGACUAGGACAGACCGCAUAUCGUGGCAUCUACUUCAAGAAACGUACAGUGUGGUGACACGUC